This 254-nucleotide ribosomal RNA is filed under the name uncultured bacterium. RNAcentral's name for it is "partial 16S ribosomal RNA". It matches the Rfam family "Bacterial small subunit ribosomal RNA", at positions 524 to 776 of the family's 1533-position model. The record is from RNAcentral.
UACGGAGGGGGCUAGCGUUGUUCGGAAUUACUGGGCGUAAAGCGCACGUAGGCGGCUUUGUAAGUUAGAGGUGAAAGCCCGGGGCUCAACUCCGGAACUGCCUUUAAGACUGCAUCGCUAGAAUUGUGGAGAGGUGAGUGGAAUUCCGAGUGUAGAGGUGAAAUUCGUAGAUAUUCGGAAGAACACCAGUGGCGAAGGCGACUCACUGGACACAUAUUGACGCUGAGGUGCGAAAGCGUGGGGGAGCAAACAGG